ACUCCACUCCACCCCCCUCACCCCACCCCCGCCCGCGCCGCCGCCAUGGUCGCGCUCGCCUCCCUCUCUUCUCUGUGCCUCUGCGGCUCCGCUCGCCGCCGUUCUGCCUCCGCGCCCACCUCCAUAUCAUGCUGUGUGCUCGCAACUCCCUCCGGCAGAGGGUCUCAUGAAUCUAGAAUACCCCGUAGAAGGUUCCGGAGAACCGAGGGUGCUACUAAGAGCAUGGAAGAUUCAGUCAAGCGAAAGAUGGAGCAGUUCUACGAAGGGGUGGAUGGUCCGCCCCUCCGGGUCCUCCCAAUCGGCGGCCUUGGGGAAAUCGCUACGACGAGUUUGGUGUGCAAAAGAUUAUUCCCGACACAACUUUCAUCAAGAAAUGGAGCCACAAAAUUGAAGCAGUUAUUAUUACACAUGGCCAUGAAGAUCACAUCGGUUAUUCCUGCACUGGAUUCGACCACACCUAUUUUUGCGUCAUCUUUUACGAUGGAGCUCAUAAAGAAACGUUUGAAGGAGUUUGGGAUUUUUCUCUCAUCCAGGCUAAAGAGUUUUAGAGUUAGAAAUAGGUUUCAGGCUGGUCCAUUUGAAGUGGAACCUAUCCGCGUAACUCAUUCAAUUCCUGACUGCUGUGGAUUAGUGCUUCGUUGUGGUGAUGGCACAAUUUUCCAUACUGGUGACUGGAAAAUUGAUGAAUCACCAGUGGAUGGGAGAAUAUUCGACCGAGAAGCAUUGGAGGAGCUCUCGAAAGAAGGUGUUACUCUGAUGAUGAGCGACUCAACAAAUAUUCUGUCCCCUGGAAGAUCCACCAGUGAAUCUGUUGUCGCUAGUUCAUUGUUGCGUCAUGUUUCAGAAGCAAAAGGGAGAAGAGUAAUUACAACACAAUUUGCUUCAAAUAUACAUCGCAUUGGGAGCAUCAAAGCCGCUGCAGACUUAACUGGUCGAAGGCUGGUCUUUGUUGGAAUGUCACUGCGGACGUACCUUGAGGCUGCUUUCAGGGAUGGAAAGGCACCACUGGAUCCAUCAACCUUGGUUAAGGCAGAGGACAUGGAUGCAUAUGACCCUAAAAAUCUUUUAGUCGUUACUACAGGUUCACAGGCAGAGCCACGUGCGGCUCUGAAUCUCGCAUCUUAUGGUGGGAGCCAUGCUCUUAAACUAUCCAAAGAGGACGUCCUUCUUUAUUCAGCUAAGGUUAUCCCUGGAAACGAGUCCCGGGUAAUGAAGAUGUUAAAUCGCCUCACCGACCUUGGCCCCAAAAUUGUUAUGGGUAAAGAUGCUGGCCUCCAUACAUCUGGGCAUGCUUAUCACGAUGAACUGGAGGAAGUUCUACAGAUUGUUAAACCGCAGCAUUUCUUGCCUGUUCAUGGGGAACUCUUGUUUCUCAAAGAACAUGAAUUGCUAGGAAGGUCAACUGGCAUAAAGCACACUACUGUAAUUAAAAAUGGGGAGAUGCUUGGUGUAUCUCAUCUAAGAAACAGAAAGGUUUUGUCAAAUGGGUUUGUUUCUUUAGGGAAGCAGGACUUUAAGUUAAUGUAUAGUGACGGAGACAAAGCUUUUGGAACGUCCACUGAUCUCUGCAUUGACGAGAGAUUCAGGAUCGCAUCUGAUGGCAUUAUCUUUGUCAGCAUGGAGAUCUUCCGACCUAAACCUGCUUCACCACAGUCUGGCUUGAAAGGGAAAUUUAAAAUAACAACACGGUGUCUAUGGCUUGAUUAUGGUAGACUACUUGAUGCACUUUACAAGGCUGCGCAUGCUGCAUUGUCAAGCUGUCCUUUGAAUUGCCCACUUAGUCACAUGGAGCGAAUGGUAUCUGAAAUCUUGAGGAAAAUGGUCAGAAAGUACAGUGGAAAGAGACCUGACGUCAUUGUAGUUGCUUCAGAGAACACUACAGUAGGUUUCUCAGAAGAGGUAAUAAAUAGGCAUAUGAGUCUUGUAGACUAUGAGAAAACACGGCCAGAGAACCCAGAGCGUGAGGCUGAAGAGAGCAUCCCUGAGGUCAUGAGAACAACACCUGACGAUGCAACCACUAGCUCCAAUGCUCAAGGGAACAAACCAAAGCUCGGCAAGAUCAGCAUAAUUGAUAAGGAUUCCAGCACGUCAGCUCCUGCUCCAGCUAAAUCUUCAAGAAAGAACAAGUGGAAGCCCGAGGAAAUUAAGAGCUUAAUACAGCUGCGUGGAGAAAUGAAUGAGAAAUUCCAAACCGUCAAAGGAAGAAUGGUUCUGUGGGAAGAGAUAUCUGGUAGCCUGUUGAAGCAGGGGAUAACUCGUACACCAGCACAGUGCAAAUCUGUGUGGACAUCAUUGCUUCAGAAAUACGAGGAGAGCAAGAAGGAUGAAGAAAACAUGCGGACAUGGCAAUAUUUUUCGGCCAUGGAUAGUUUUUUAUCAUGCGAAGGGGAAAUGGCAACCAAAUGAAACAGACCCGUAAUAAAUUGCUUAGCGAUAGUUAUUUGGAGAUCAGUGUAUUGUAAGGUAGUCCGUGAAUCAACGACAAGAUCAACAGCGUCUCCAGGAAGUAAUCCUAUCAUUCUUUGCCAUUGCAUGAGAUGCCUGGGGUAGUCACGUGAAACUAGGUUUACCAAUCCACCAUGUUGUAUUAGUUUUUGUGGGAUCAGCAACUAGAUCUAUCAAUUGAUUAGUCAGUUAAGUUGCAACAUUAGCAAGUAAAAAGGCGCUCUCGUGUUACAGAAUGGAUUAAUUCUGGCCUCACAUUUAGGCCGUAACAAGGUGGAGAUCGAGUCCGAUCGUGUUCCUGUGAUUGAAGCUACAAAACUACUACUAUGGAGCUGACGCGGCGAUCAUUGCUGAAUGUGCUCAACUUGCAACAGGGUUCGGGAAGGUUUGUUUUGGUUAUUGUCGUCGAGAUGCAAAUGCGGUUGUUGAUUGUCUUGCUAAAUCAGCUUCUUGAUCAAUCCUCGUCAUUUUGGGAUUCUAGUGCGCACAGUUUUAUCUUGGAUUUUCUUGUAAAUGACGUUGCCCUUAUUUGAUGAACAAAGAAUCUUCCCUUUUAAAAAAAACUACCGACACUGCGAUUCUGAGGUGAAUGGGCUAAGCACACCGCUGACAUCCUAUAUAGAUAAGAGUGACCCCUACUAACUUAUUUAUUUCAACAUGUAAGUAAGUCAGAUCACCUAAUUAUGGUCCC
This 3136-nucleotide ribosomal RNA is filed under the name Triticum aestivum (bread wheat). RNAcentral's name for it is "partial small subunit ribosomal RNA". The record is from RNAcentral. Lineage: Eukaryota; Viridiplantae; Streptophyta; Magnoliopsida; Poales; Poaceae.